UUGCUUCUUAUCAAUUCGAGUGGCAAACGGGUGAGUAACGCGUAGGCAACCUGCCCUUUAGACGGGGACAACAGUUGGAAACGACUGCUAAUACCGCAUGACACAUAGAUGUCGCAUGGCAUUUAUGUCAAAGAUUUAUCGCUGAAAGAUGGCCUCGCGUCUGAUUAGCUAGUUGGUGAGGUAACGGCCCACCAAGGCGACGAUCAGUAGCCGGACUGAGAGGUUGAACGGCCACAUUGGGACUGAGAUACGGCCCAGACUCC
Molecule: ribosomal RNA, 263 nt
Filed under: uncultured Oscillospiraceae bacterium
Lineage: Bacteria; Bacillati; Bacillota; Clostridia; Eubacteriales; Oscillospiraceae
Description: partial 16S ribosomal RNA
Rfam family: Bacterial small subunit ribosomal RNA
Source: RNAcentral